GCCUGCGUAGCCGGCGGGCUGGCAGUGAGACUGACUGCGUCGGGGUUGAGACUGGGUGGAUGAGGCUCACCCCGGCGGGGAGAAGGGACGAGGAGGGGCGGACAGCGGAAGGUCCGGGAGUGUCCGCCAUAAAGUCGUUUGAGGUGACCGUUGCGUAAUUGUGAGUCUGUGAGAGAAGAUGUGAAGUAUGGCCUCGUCCCGGUCAUCUGGGCGUGCGGGUCCCGGGUUUUGAUCGCGCGUUUGUGUAGUUUUAACUUCUAGUCAUGGCGAAUGAUCGCAGGAGAGCACAGACUGGACCCUGCUACGAUCUCUCUUGGAGUGGAUCAGACUGAUGAUCACCAACAACCAACUCAUUCCCGGAUAAGGAAGAAGAGAGUGUCACCUACUUCAGUGUGGUUUCAACCCUACUUCUGCAUCUUAAAGACACUUGUACAACGUUGGACACUGUGCAGGAUGAUGCCACUUCAUCUUGGAUGCUAAUCUGCCAUGUUGACUUCUGAUUAACCCCAGGCCCAGGAAUGCCUCAAGAUUUCUACUUUACUUACUGUUGCUUGUGUAAGCCAAGACAACCUUGAUGUUAUCAUAAACAUGUACUUACCUAAGUCCUGUCCUUUGGCAAAUUAUGGGCUAUGAGACACAGCAUUCUUGCCUUUCCCUGAGGGGUCAAUUUCAGCGAUCCUACACAUUCCUUCUGAAGCACUUAUGCUCUUUCUAUAUGGUAUGUAAGCUCUCGGUCUGGGGAGUAACAGUGCAGAGAUCUACCUGUCUUGUUGCCACAUGUUUCUAAACUUUCCAAUAAAUCACCUUCUACUGACAAA
RNAcentral lists this long non-coding RNA (818 nucleotides) under Homo sapiens (human). RNAcentral describes it as "HSALNT0398841". The record is from RNAcentral. Lineage: Eukaryota; Metazoa; Chordata; Mammalia; Primates; Hominidae.